This 474-nucleotide ribosomal RNA is filed under the name uncultured bacterium. RNAcentral describes it as "bacterial SSU rRNA". It matches the Rfam family "Bacterial small subunit ribosomal RNA", at positions 335 to 798 of the family's 1533-position model. The record is from RNAcentral.
ACUCCUACGGGAGGCAGCAGUGGGGAAUAUUGCACAAUGGGCGCAAGCCUGAUGCAGCCAUGCCGCGUGUGUGAAGAAGGCCUUCGGGUUGUAAAGCACUUUCAGUCGUGAGGAAGGUAGUGUAGUUAAUAGCUGCAUUAUUUGUACGUUAGCGACAGAAGAAGCACCGGCUAACUCCGUGCCAGCAGCCGCGGUAAUACGGAGGGGUGCGAGCGUUAAUCGGAAUUACUGGGCGUAAAGCGCAUGCAGGUGGUUUGUUAAGUCAGAUGUGAAAGCCCGGGGCUCAACCUCGGAAUUGCAUUUGAAACUGCUUGGCUAGAGUCCUUGAGAGGGGGUAGAAUUUCAGGUGUAGCGGUGAAAUGCGUAGAGAUCUGAAGGAAUACCAAGUGGCGAAGGCGGCCCCCUGGCCAAGAGACUGACGCUCAGAUGCGAAAGCGUGGGGAGCAAACAGGAUUAGAUACCCUGGUAGGAUAG